Molecule: ribosomal RNA, 788 nt
Filed under: Oculimacula yallundae
Lineage: Eukaryota; Fungi; Ascomycota; Leotiomycetes; Helotiales; Ploettnerulaceae
Description: partial large subunit ribosomal RNA
Rfam family: Eukaryotic large subunit ribosomal RNA
Source: RNAcentral
GUAACAGCUCAAAUUUGAAAGCUAGCUCUUUUAGGGUUCGCAUUGUAAUUUGUAGAAGAUGCUUCGGGUGUGGCCCCGGUCUAAGUUCCUUGGAACAGGACGUCAUAGAGGGUGAGAAUCCCGUAUGUGACUGGGUGCUUUCGCUCAUGUGAAGCUCUUUCGACGAGUCGAGUUGUUUGGGAAUGCAGCUCAAAAUGGGUGGUAAAUUUCAUCUAAAGCUAAAUAUUGGCCAGAGACCGAUAGCGCACAAGUAGAGUGAUCGAAAGAUGAAAAGCACUUUGGAAAGAGAGUUAAACAGUACGUGAAAUUGUUGAAAGGGAAGCGCUUGCAACCAGACUUGCGCGCUGAUGAUCAUCCGGGCUUCUGUCCGGUGCACUCGUCUGCGCUCAGGCCAGCAUCGGUUUCGGUGGUGGGAUAAAGGCCUUGGGAAUGUAGCUCCUCUCGGGGAGUGUUAUAGCCCUCGGUGCAAUGCCGCCUAUCGGGACCGAGGACCGCGCUUCGGCUAGGAUGCUGGCGUAAUGGUUGUAAGCGACCCGUCUUGAAACACGGACCAAGGAGUCUAACAUCUAUGCGAGUGUUUGGGUGUCAAACCCAUACGCGUAAUGAAAGUGAACGGAGGUGAGAACCCUUAAGGGUGCAUCAUCGACCGGUCCUGAUGUCUUCGGAUGGAUCUGAGUAAGAGCAUAGCUGUUGGGACCCGAAAGAUGGUGAACUAUGCGUGAAUAGGGUGAAGCCAGAGGAAACUCUGGUGGAGGCUCGCAGCGGUUCUGACGUGCAAAUCGAUCGUC